GAUAAACAUAUUUGAGGUUUAGAAACGAGGAUUUGACAAGUAAACUUUUAUUUUGGCAAAACUAGUUAGACUUUGGUAUUGAGAAAAAGAGAUUGUAGAUAUGUGAUUUUGCUAUGGUUUGAAUGUGAUUAAGGUUGUAAUUAAUGAGUGUCUAAUGUGUUUAUUAUGUAUGCGAAGCACCAGAUAAAUCAGGAGCUUCUACGAGCAAGGCAAAGGGCAAAGAGAAGCUUACCUAGCCUUCAACGUUCGACCGAAAGUAAUUUGGUGAGUGAUCGAAAUUGCUACUUCUGGGCACAAUUCAAUGCAUUAUUAGGGGACUUAGGUUAGCCUAAACACCUAUCCUAAAUUUUGAGUGUAAGUAUCUCUAUUCUAUCUAUUAUUGAUAUACAAAUCAGGCUUAAGUGAUACGAUAUGCUAUGUGAGUUGACUUGAAAAUGCUAUGUGCCUUAUGAAUAAAUAUGUUAUGAACUUGCUGGUAUGUAUGCAUAUUAUAUGAUAUUUUUAUACUAUGGCUCCUUGAGCAAUAAGGGAACACUUGUAAGUGCAUUAUAUGAGAUUUGAUUAUGUGAUAUGAACAUGAGUUAAUUGAUAUGUGAAAGUGUGCAUAAAACAGUAAGUGUGUGUUUAAAAUGGAUUUGUUGGCAUUGUGAUCUUUUGGAACCAUCGGAUAUAGUUGGCAUACCAUAGGAUUGUGAGUACUCAGCAUUAUAUGUUUAUUUUUGGACGAUGAGGCCCCAAGAUAUGUUGGAGGGAUAAAGGAAUGUCAAGCAUAGCUCCAUUCACCAAGAUAUGUUUGGUGUAUUUGGAGAGUGUUCACCACACUUCAUGGGAUAUGCUAGACUCUUUGAGUCUUUGGUUGUGUUUGGAGAUUCGUGUAUUUGAUGCUUUAUGUUUUAUACAUGUUUCAUGGAAGCUAAAUGCCAAUAUAUCAAUAAAAGAUGCUAGGGAUGAUGCUUGUGCUAUGCCAUGUAAUAAAGUGAUAGUAUGCUUACCAUUAACCUUGAUAUUGUGGCUUGUUUUUGGCAUCUUUGAACACUCGCAGAGCUUUGUUAAGCUCAUACUCCUUUUAUGAACAUUUUUUGCAGAGAAGUAGCUUCUUAAGGAUGGGAAGUGUGCAAGCAAGUGAUCCAUCUAAGGCAUUCCUUUCGAGUAUGUGAAUUGAUUUUUCAACUAGCAUAAAGAUGACAAUAUGAGACUAUUUUGUAAGGGAUUUAAACUUUAUAUUUGUUGAUGGAUGUAAAAG
RNAcentral lists this long non-coding RNA (1243 nucleotides) under Gossypium barbadense (sea-island cotton). RNAcentral describes it as "long non-coding RNA (GBAR_LNC017774)". The record is from RNAcentral. Lineage: Eukaryota; Viridiplantae; Streptophyta; Magnoliopsida; Malvales; Malvaceae.